CACGUGAAAUUCCGUCGGAAUCUGGGAGGACCAUCUCCUAAGGCUAAAUACUCUCUAGUGACCGAUAGUGAACCAGUACCGUGAGGGAAAGGUGAAAAGCACCCCGGAAGGGGAGUGAAAUAGAACCUGAAACCGUGUGCUUACAAGUAGUCAGAGCCCGUUAAUGGGUGAUGGCGUGCCUUUUGUAGAAUGAACCGGCGAGUUACGAUUUGAUGCAAGGUUAAGCAGUAAAUGUGGAGCCGUAGCGAAAGCGAGUCUGAAUAGGGCGUUUAGUAUUUGGUCGUAGACCCGAAACCAGGUGAUCUACCCUUGGUCAGGUUGAAGUUCAGGUAACACUGAAUGGAGGACCGAACCGACUUACGUUGAAAAGUGAGCGGAUGAACUGAGGGUAGCGGAGAAAUUCCAAUCGAACCUGGAGAUAGCUGGUUCUCUCCGAAAUAGCUUUAGGGCUAGCCUCAAGUGAUGAUUAUUGGAGGUAGAGCACUGUUUGGACGAGGGGCCCCUCUCGGGUUACCGAAUUCAGACAAACUCCGAAUGCCAAUUAAUUUAACUUGGGAGUCAGAACAUGGGUGAUAAGGUCCGUGUUCGAAAGGGAAACAGCCCAGACCACCAGCUAAGGUCCCAAAAUAUAUGUUAAGUGGAAAAGGAUGUGGCGUUGCCCAGACAACUAGGAUGUUGGCUUAGAAGCAGCCAUCAUUUAAAGAGUGCGUAAUAGCUCACUAGUCGAGUGACACUGCGCCGAAAAUGUACCGGGGCUAAACAUAUUACCGAAGCUGUGGAUUGUCCUUUGGACAAUGGUAGGAGAGCGUUCUAAGGGCGUUGAAGCAUGAUCGUAAGGACAUGUGGAGCGCUUAGAAGUGAGAAUGCCGGUGUGAGUAGCGAAAGACGGGUGAGAAUCCCGUCCACCGAUUGACUAAGGUUUCCAGAGGAAGGCUCGUCCGCUCUGGGUUAGUCGGGUCCUAAGCUGAGGCCGACAGGCGUAGGCGAUGGAUAACAGGUUGAUAUUCCUGUACCACCUAUAAUCGUUUUA
This 1030-nucleotide ribosomal RNA is filed under the name Staphylococcus aureus. Its description in RNAcentral is "partial 23S ribosomal RNA". It matches the Rfam family "Bacterial large subunit ribosomal RNA", at positions 423 to 1461 of the family's 2925-position model. Lineage: Bacteria; Bacillati; Bacillota; Bacilli; Caryophanales; Staphylococcaceae. The record is from RNAcentral.